CUUGACUUAUAAUAAGAGGUCCAGCCUGCCCAGUGAAUUUUUAACGGCCGCGGUAUCCUAACCGCGCGAAGGUAGCAUAAUCACUUGUUCUUUAAAUGGGGACUCGUAUCAACGGCAUCACGAGGGUUUUACUGUCUCCUCUUUUUGAUCAGUGAAAUUGAUCUUCCCGUGAAGAAGCGGGAAUAAUCCUAUAAGACGAGAAGACCCCAUGGAGCUUAAAACCAAAUAACAACUUAACCACUUACCCCACUAGAAAUUUAAGCCCUGUUAUAAGGUUUUUGGUUGGGGUGACCGCGGAGUAAAGAACAUCCUCCACGACGGAAAGAACACACGCUUUAUUUAAGAACCACAAUUCUAGAAAUUAGUAUACUAACGUUUACUGACCCGAUAAUCGAUCAACGGACCA
Molecule: ribosomal RNA, 406 nt
Filed under: Polypedates megacephalus (Hong Kong whipping frog)
Lineage: Eukaryota; Metazoa; Chordata; Amphibia; Anura; Rhacophoridae
Description: partial 16S ribosomal RNA
Rfam family: Bacterial large subunit ribosomal RNA
Source: RNAcentral